Molecule: long non-coding RNA, 253 nt
Filed under: Setaria italica (foxtail millet)
Lineage: Eukaryota; Viridiplantae; Streptophyta; Magnoliopsida; Poales; Poaceae
Description: long non-coding RNA (SITA_LNC001144)
Source: RNAcentral
GCACAGCAAACAGCAGAGCAACAGAAUAGCGCCUGGCCUCCGGUCCGCUCGAUCCGCUGGCCUGCACCACCGCCUGCGCACCUUGGCUCGCCGCCCCACACGCACCACCACCACCAGCGCCUCGCCGCCUUGGUCCGCCGCCCACACCGUGCCCGCGCCUCUAGCCCGAGCCGCCUUGCUCACUGCGCCUGUGCGCCCGUCGCCACCGCACCCCUCUCCUCCUUGCUCUGUUCUUCUCCCCCAUCGAGCAAAC